RNAcentral lists this ribosomal RNA (378 nucleotides) under uncultured cyanobacterium. RNAcentral's name for it is "bacterial SSU rRNA". It matches the Rfam family "Bacterial small subunit ribosomal RNA", at positions 376 to 770 of the family's 1533-position model. The record is from RNAcentral. Lineage: Bacteria; Bacillati; Cyanobacteriota.
CGAAAGCCUGACGGAGCAAUACCGCGUGCGGGAGGAAGGCCCUUGGGUCGUAAACCGCUUUUCUUAGGGAAGAAACCUGACGGUACCUAAGGAAUAAGCCUCGGCUAACUCCGUGCCAGCAGCCGCGGUAAUACGGAGGAGGCAAGCGUUAUCCGGAAUUAUUGGGCGUAAAGCGUUCGUAGGUGGCUGUUCAAGUCUGCCGUUAAAGACCGGGGCUUAACUCCGGAAAAACUGUGGAAACUGAACAGCUAGAGUAUGGUAGGGGUAAGGGGAAUUCCCGGUGUAGCGGUGAAAUGCGUAGAUAUCGGGAAGAACACCGGUGGCGAAGGCGCCUUACUGGGCCAUAACUGACACUGAGGGACGAAAGCUAGGGGAGCG